RNAcentral lists this ribosomal RNA (492 nucleotides) under uncultured bacterium. RNAcentral describes it as "partial 16S ribosomal RNA". It matches the Rfam family "Bacterial small subunit ribosomal RNA", at positions 29 to 507 of the family's 1533-position model. The record is from RNAcentral.
AGUGAACGCUGGCGGUAGGCCUAACACAUGCAAGUCGAACGGCAGCACAGUAAGAGCUUGCUCUUACGGGUGGCGAGUGGCGGACGGGUGAGGAAUACAUCGGAAUCUACUUUUUCGUGGAGGAUAACGUAGGGAAACUUACGCUAAUACCGCAUACGACCUACGGGUGAAAGCAGGGGAUCUUCGGACCUUGCGCGAUUGAAUGAGCCGAUGUCGGAUUAGCUAGUUGGCGGGGUAAAGGCCCACCAAGGCGACGAUCCGUAGCUGGUCUGAGAGGAUGAUCAGCCACACUGGAACUGAGACACGGUCCAGACUCCUACGGGAGGCAGCAGUGGGGAGUAUUGGACAAUGGGCGCAAGCCUGAUCCAGCCAUACCGCGUGGGUGAAGAAGGCCUUCGGGUUGUAAAGCCCUUUUGUUGGGAAAGAAAAGCAGCAGGUUAAUACCCCGCUGUUCUGACGGUACCCAAAGAAUAAGCACCGGCUAACUUCGUG